This 779-nucleotide unclassified non-coding RNA is filed under the name Hevea brasiliensis (rubber tree). The record is from RNAcentral. Lineage: Eukaryota; Viridiplantae; Streptophyta; Magnoliopsida; Malpighiales; Euphorbiaceae.
UUUAAAAAAUAAUAUAUAGUCUUUUAUAUCAAUAUUUAUGAAAAUAUAUUAUUAAAAUUUAAAAUUUUAAUUUUCUAUAUUAUAAAAUAAGUACUCCAUAAUUACAUUUCCUACUAAAAUAAGUCAAUAACUAAUUUUAUGAUGCUGCAAUUUUGGUGUUAAGUAAUUGGUUUUAUUCACGGCAAGUUGGUUGACUCAAUCAUAAUUCAGUAUCCCUUUCAUAUUACCUUUACAGGCAAACCUAUGUACAGGUGAUGCGUAAAGAAAGGGGGCAAAAGUGUAUUUUGCUAGCCAUUAAAGACCUAAUCUGGAUCAAAGACACUAGUGAAAGAGAGAGAGAGAACCAAAAAAAAAAAAACCUUCAUGAUUUUAAGGCAAAAAUAAACAAUAAUGUGUAGAUAAUUACAGGAUUUAUAUGAUUACAAUAUUAAGAAAUAAAAACAAGAAAAAAAAACAUGUAUCUUUAAAUAUUUAACAAGUAAGCCACAUCGCAAACAGAAGCAUAUUAGCCGCCAUCAAGAGUUUAAAAAUGGAGCAAUGUCUUAUCCUAUGAAACUAUGCUCAUUUUAUAGCAAUAUUAUAAUGAAUAUAAUAAGCCAAUAUAAAGCAGAAAGACAUGCAAAUUCCAAAUCUUUUGCAUCUAGCUUUUAAUUAAUGGGGAAAAUUAAAAUUAAUGAAGGUUAAGAGACAAAACUUGAAAAGUUGUAUUCAAAUUUUUUAAGAAAGAAAUUUAAAUGUUAAAGAAAAACAAAUGUACCUUUGAGAUGCUUCUUGUCGUG